RNAcentral lists this ribosomal RNA (773 nucleotides) under uncultured Neocallimastigales. Its description in RNAcentral is "partial large subunit ribosomal RNA". It matches the Rfam family "Eukaryotic large subunit ribosomal RNA", at positions 23 to 627 of the family's 3401-position model. The record is from RNAcentral. Lineage: Eukaryota; Fungi; Neocallimastigomycota; Neocallimastigomycetes; Neocallimastigales.
AUAGAGACUCAGAGCUGCAUAUCAAUAAGCGGAGGAAAAGAAACUAACAAGGAUUCCCUUAGUAACGGCGAGUGAAGCGGGAAGAGCUCAAAUUUGAAAUCUUCAAGGUUUACCUUGACGAAUUGUAGUUUAAAGAAGUGUUUUCUGUUGGAGUUUCGGUAAAAGUUCUUUGGAAUAGGACAUCAUAGAGGGUGAGAAUCCCGUAUUUGACCAUUAUUUCAGCUGUGUGAUACACUUUCAAAGAGUCGGAUUGUUUGGGAAUGCAGUCCAAAAUGGGUGGUAAAUUUCAUCUAAAGCUAAAUAUUGGCGAGAGACCGAUAGCGAACAAGUACCGUGAGGGAAAGAUGAAAAGAACUUUGAAAAGAGAGUUAAACAGUACGUGAAAUUGUCAAAAGGGAAGCGUUUGACACCAGUGUUGUUUUCUCGAAAAUCAAUUAAAAAAGGCUGGAUUUUGUGUUGUAUUGACUUUAUCAGCUUUCUGCACUCUUUUCUUGUCUUUUUUAAUGCACUUUUCGUUUAACAAGUCUACAUCAAUUUCUUUUGUUGUAAAAGGGUCAUUGGAAGGUGGCUUUCUUUUCGGAGAAAGUGUUUAUAGCCUUUGGCCUCUGCAAUCGGAGAGAUUGAGGUCUGCAGCGUAGAUCCUUCGGGGUUAGAUACAGUUUGUGCUAAGUUAUAGCCUUUCAUAGACAACUUGUUGACUAUGAUCAGUCAUGUAGCUUACUCGCUUAUGCUAUUUUACCUACGCUUAGGAUGUUGACGAUCAGCUGAGCGCG